GGGAAUUCGAUUUUCCGGUUGAUCCUGCCGGAGGCCACUGCUAUUGGGAUCCGAUUAAGCCAUGCGAGUCGAGAGGGUUCGGCCCUCGGCAGACUGCUCAGUAACACGUGGAUAACCUACCCUUAGGUGGAGGAUAAUCUCGGGAAACUGAGAAUAAUACUCCAUAGAUCUAGGAUGCUGGAAUGCAUCUAGAUUGAAAGCUCUGGCGCCUAAGGAUGGGUCUGCGGACUAUCAGGUUGUAGUCAGGGUAAAGACCUGACUAGCCUACGACGGAUAUGGGUUGUGAGAGCAAUAGCCCAGAGACGAUAUCUGAGACACGAUAUCGGGCCCUACGGGGCGCAGCAGGCGCGAAAUCUUCACAAUGUGCGAAAGCACGAUGAGGGGAUCCCAAGUGCUGGUACGUAAGUAUCAGCUGUUUCUUUGUCUAAAAAACAAAGAGAGUAAGAGCUGGGUAAGACGGGUGCCAGCCGCCGCGGUAAUACCUGCAGCUCAAGUGGUGGCCGCUAUUAUUGGGCCUAAAACGUCCGUAGCCGGUUUAGUAAAUGCUUGGGUAAAUUGUGUAGCUUAACUAUACGAAUACCGGGUAGACUGCUAAACUUGGGACCGGGAGAGGCUAGAGGUACUCCUAGGGUAGAGGUGAAAUUCUGUAAUCCUAGGGGGACCACCAGUGGCGAAGGCGUCUAGCUAGAACGGGUCUGACGGUGAGGGACGAAGCCCUGGGGCGCAAACCGGAUUAGAUACCCGGGUAGUCCAGGGUGUAAACGCUGCUUGCUUGAUGUUAGUUGGGCUCCGAGCCCAACUAGUGU
This 806-nucleotide ribosomal RNA is filed under the name uncultured archaeon. RNAcentral's name for it is "bacterial SSU rRNA". It matches the Rfam family "Archaeal small subunit ribosomal RNA", at positions 1 to 801 of the family's 1478-position model. The record is from RNAcentral.